UACGUAGGGACCGAGCGUUGUCCGGAAUCAUUGGGCGUAAAGAGCGUGUAGGCGGCCUUUUAAGUCCUGCGUGAAAUCCUGCGGCUCAACCGCAGACGGUCGUGGGAAACUGGAAGGCUAGAGUGCGGGAGAGGAGAGUGGAAUUCCCGGUGUAGCGGUGAAAUGCGCAGAUAUCGGGAAGAACACCCGUGGCGAAGGCGGCUCUCUGGAACGCAACUGACGCUGAGGAGCGAAAGCGUGGGGAGCGAAUAGG
This 253-nucleotide ribosomal RNA is filed under the name uncultured bacterium. RNAcentral describes it as "partial 16S ribosomal RNA". It matches the Rfam family "Bacterial small subunit ribosomal RNA", at positions 524 to 776 of the family's 1533-position model. The record is from RNAcentral.